GAUGAACGCUGGCGGCGUGCCUAAUACAUGCAAGUCGAGCGAACAGACGAGGAGCUUGCUCCUCUGACGUUAGCGGCGGACGGGUGAGUAACACGUGGAUAACCUACCUAUAAGACUGGGAUAACUUCGGGAAACCGGAGCUAAUACCGGAUAAUAUAUUGAACCGCAUGGUUCAAUAGUGAAAGACGGUUUUGCUGUCACUUAUAGAUGGAUCCGCGCCGCAUUAGCUAGUUGGUAAGGUAACGGCUUACCAAGGCAACGAUGCGUAGCCGACCUGAGAGGGUGAUCGGCCACACUGGAACUGAGACAAGGUCCAGACUCCUACGGGAGGCAGCAGUAGGGAAUCUUCCGCAAUGGGCGAAAGCCUGACGGAGCAACGCCGCGUGAGUGAUGAAGGUUUUCGGAUCGUAAAACUCUGUUAUUAGGGAAGAACAAAUGUGUAAGUAACUAUGCACGUCUUGACGGUACCUAAUCAGAAAGCCACGGCUAACUACGUG
Molecule: ribosomal RNA, 497 nt
Filed under: uncultured bacterium
Lineage: Bacteria
Description: partial 16S ribosomal RNA
Rfam family: Bacterial small subunit ribosomal RNA
Source: RNAcentral